GAGUUUGAUCCUGGCUCAGGACGAACGCUGGCGGCGUGCCUAAUACAUGCAAGUCGAGCGGACCGACGGGAGCUUGCUCCCUUGGGUCAGCGGCGGACGGGUGAGUAACACGUGGGUAACCUGCCUGUAAGACUGGGAUAACUCCGGGAAACCGGGGCUAAUACCGGAUGCUUGAUUGAACCGCAUGGUUCAAUCAUAAAAGGUGGCUUUUAGCUACCACUUGCAGAUGGACCCGCGGCGCAUUAGCUAGUUGGUGAGGUAACGGCUCACCAAGGCGACGAUGCGUAGCCGACCUGAGAGGGUGAUCGGCCACACUGGGACUGAGACACGGCCCAGACUCCUACGGGAGGCAGCAGUAGGGAAUCUUCCGCAAUGGACGAAAGUCU
RNAcentral lists this ribosomal RNA (386 nucleotides) under uncultured bacterium. RNAcentral's name for it is "bacterial SSU rRNA". It matches the Rfam family "Bacterial small subunit ribosomal RNA", at positions 9 to 384 of the family's 1533-position model. The record is from RNAcentral.